RNAcentral lists this long non-coding RNA (225 nucleotides) under Elaeis guineensis (African oil palm). RNAcentral's name for it is "long non-coding RNA (EGUI_LNC072068)". The record is from RNAcentral. Lineage: Eukaryota; Viridiplantae; Streptophyta; Magnoliopsida; Arecales; Arecaceae.
CUUCCUACUCGGUUAACCACUGUCGCUAGUCGGACAAAUCGACGCCAUGAUUCAAAAGAGAGAUUUUGAAAUGAUGCCCAUUUAAUUCAACCAUGAUGGCUUAAGUCAUGUCACCUCAUUUCUAUCCCAAAAGUCAUGCAUGUCCCAUCAACUGAAGGGUCUUUUCACAUUCUUGAUCUUAAAAAAUAGGUAUACUCCCUUCAUCCGAUUAAAAUCGAACUCGAG